GAUGAACGCUGGCGGCGUGCCUAAUACAUGCAAGUCGAGCGAACGGACGAGAAGCUUGCUUUUCUGAUGUUAGCGGCGGACGGGUGAGUAACACGUGGAUAACCUACCUAUAAUACUGGGAUAACUUCGGGAAACCGGAGCUAAUACCGGAUAAUAUUUUGAACCGCAUGGUUCAAAAGUGAAAGACGGUCUUGCUGUCACUUAUAGAUGGAUCCGCGCUGCAUUAGCUAGUUGGUAAGGUAACGGCUUACCAAGGCAACGAUGCGUAGCCGACCUGAGAGGGUGAUCGGCCACACUGGAACUGAGACACGGUCCAGACUCCUACGGGAGGCAGCAGUAGGGAAUCUUCCGCAAUGGGCGAAAGCCUGACGGAGCAACGCCGCGUGAGUGAUGAAGGUCUUCGGAUCGUAAAACUCUGUUAUUAGGGAAGAACAUAUGUGUAAGUAACUGUGCACAUCUUGACGGUACCUAAUCAGAAAGCCACGGCUAACUACGUG
Molecule: ribosomal RNA, 497 nt
Filed under: uncultured bacterium
Lineage: Bacteria
Description: partial 16S ribosomal RNA
Rfam family: Bacterial small subunit ribosomal RNA
Source: RNAcentral